RNAcentral lists this ribosomal RNA (715 nucleotides) under Nematoda environmental sample. Its description in RNAcentral is "SSU rRNA". It matches the Rfam family "Eukaryotic small subunit ribosomal RNA", at positions 185 to 939 of the family's 1831-position model. Lineage: Eukaryota; Metazoa; Nematoda. The record is from RNAcentral.
UUAAGCAAUUAGUGUAGUGCACUUAUCGGAGCAAAAUCAUUCCUGGUUUUUUGCUAACUCUGGAUAACACUGCUUAUCGCACGACCUUGUGUCGGCGAAGUUACAUUCAAGUAUCUGCCUUAUCAACUAUCGUUGGUAGUGUAUUGGACUACCAUGGUGUUGACGGGUAACGGAGAAUCAGGGUUCGACUCCGGAGAGGGAGCCUUAGAAACGGCUACCAUGUCUAAGGACAGCAGCAGGCGCGCAACUUAUCCACUGUUCAUUGAACGAGAUAGUGACGAGAAAUAACAAGCCCGUUCUCUUUGAGGUCGGGCAUUGGAAUGGAUGGAAUCUAAACAGUUCCAUGAGUAUCAACGAGAGGGCAAGUCUGGUGCCAGCAGCCGCGGUAAUUCCAGCUCUCGUAAUGUAUAGAAUUAUUGUUGCGGUUAAAAAGUUCGUAGUUGGAUUUUCUACCGUUCGGCGGUUGGGUUUAACGACUCAGACUGUCGGCGGUUUUUGCGCUAUGACUGGCUUGCUAGUCUUAGUGCGGAUUACUUUGAACGGCUUAAGUGCUCAAGGCGAGUCUUCGGACUGAAUACCGGUGCAUGGAAUAAUGGGACAAGGUCACGGCCGAGUUUUAUUGGUUUUGUCGGCUGAGACNAUGGUUAACAGGAACAGCUGGGGGCACUCGUAUCGCUGCGCGAGAGGUGAAAUUCGUGGACCGCAGCGAGACGCC